GUUGAUCAUGGCUCAGAACGACGCUGGCGGUAUGCCUAACACAUGCAAGUCGUACGAGAGUUUUUAACUCUAGUGGCGGACGGGUGAGUAACACGUGAGAAUUUGCCUUUAGGAGGGGGACAACAAUUGGAAACGAAUGCUAAUACCCCAUAUGCUUUCGAGUGAAAUGGAUUUUAUCCGCCUAGAGAGAAGCUCGCGGCUGAUUAGCUUGUUGGUAAGGUAAGAGCUUACCAAGGCGACGAUCAGUAUCUGGUUUGAGAGGACGAUCAGACACACUGGAACUGAGACACGGUCCAGACUCCUACGGGAGGCAGCAGUGGGGAAUUUUCCGCAAUGGGCGAAAGCCUGACGGAGCAAUACCGCGUGAGGGAAGAAUGCCUAUGGGUUGUAAACCUCUUUUUCAGGGAGGAAUAAAAUGACGUGUACCUGAAGAAUAAGCAUCGGCUAACUCCGUG
Molecule: ribosomal RNA, 455 nt
Filed under: uncultured bacterium
Lineage: Bacteria
Description: bacterial SSU rRNA
Rfam family: Bacterial small subunit ribosomal RNA
Source: RNAcentral